GAGAAUGCCGGCUUCCAUCAUGGAAUCGCCGCGCACUUCGAGGGCAUAGUGUUCGCCGGAUCCGAGCAUGUCGGGCGGCACGCUGAUGGUGUGGCUGCGGGUCUGCAACGCUUCGAUCGGCGUACCUGCCGCGAUCCGGCCCAUGACCGGCACGGAGACCGGGAAGCUCGCGUCCUCGUCCGGACCGGCGGAGGUGUUCGCGCGGACCUUGCCGAGGUUGCCCUCGAUGACGCUCGGAGUAAAGCCGCGGCGGGCGCCACCUGGAUUGGCACUCGUUUC
RNAcentral lists this unclassified non-coding RNA (279 nucleotides) under Hevea brasiliensis (rubber tree). The record is from RNAcentral. Lineage: Eukaryota; Viridiplantae; Streptophyta; Magnoliopsida; Malpighiales; Euphorbiaceae.